GAUGAACGCUGGCGGCGUGCUUAACACAUGCAAGUCGAACGGGAAACCUUUUAUUGAAGCUUCGGCAGAUUUAGCUGGUUUCUAGUGGCGGACGGGUGAGUAACGCGUGGGUAACCUGCCUUAUACAGGGGGAUAACAACCAGAAAUGGUUGCUAAUACCGCAUAAGCGCACAGGACCGCAUGGUCCGGUGUGAAAAACUCCGGUGGUAUAAGAUGGACCCGCGUUGGAUUAGCUAGUUGGCAGGGUAACGGCCUACCAAGGCGACGAUCCCUAGCCGGCCUGAGAGGGUGAACGGCCACAUUGGGACUGAGACACGGCCCAGACUCCUACGGGAGGCAGCAGUGGGGAAUAUUGCACAAUGGGGGAAACCCUGAUGCAGCGACGCCGCGUGAAGGAAGAAGUAUCUCGGUAUGUAAACUUCUAUCAGCAGGGAAGAUAGUGACGGUACCUGACUAAGAAGCCCCGGCUAACUACGUG
RNAcentral lists this ribosomal RNA (478 nucleotides) under uncultured bacterium. Its description in RNAcentral is "partial 16S ribosomal RNA". It matches the Rfam family "Bacterial small subunit ribosomal RNA", at positions 28 to 507 of the family's 1533-position model. The record is from RNAcentral.